AAAAAACUCUGUCUGUUAUGCCUUUUCAUUCCCGGUUAUUGUGGAUUUCAUUUUUGUAAAUGUGUUACUGUUUUAAGCUAUUUUCAAAAUGCUUUUUGAGUAUUCAUGUUGGACUUCUGGAUAAAGUGUUAAACUGAUUAACUUAUUAGUUACUUUUCAGUUCUUUAAGCGCUUAUGAAAAGUGCUUUUUUAAUUAAGCUAUUUUUAUCUCUGCAGGUUACAACUUGAAGUGACUUUGAUGGGAUGGGAGGUGGUUGCGUGAAGCUUCAAGGAAGCAAGUUUGAGUCGUACCAGUUCCAAGGAAGGUUCAACGGUCUCUGGCUUUGGUCUCUUGGGGCAAUGGUUCUUAUCAAUUGAAAUUGCAACAGCUUUUUAUUAAAUUAGGAUGUAAUCAAUUAAGUAUUUAGGUUAAAUGUAUAUUUGGACUAUUUGUAACCUAUUGGAUUUAAAAUCUGUUUAUGUAAUUACUUUUUUAAGCAUUCAAACCUUAUUUCCAUAUUUUAAUUAUGCUAAUCAUUCAACUUUUAAAAACAAUACACUUCUAACUUAAGUAUAAUGAUUUAAUUUUAAAAACAACAAAUUUCUAAUUUAA
Molecule: long non-coding RNA, 592 nt
Filed under: Lathyrus oleraceus (garden pea)
Lineage: Eukaryota; Viridiplantae; Streptophyta; Magnoliopsida; Fabales; Fabaceae
Description: Pisum sativum (pea) long non-coding RNA (PSAT_LNC041111)
Source: RNAcentral